Molecule: ribosomal RNA, 494 nt
Filed under: uncultured bacterium
Lineage: Bacteria
Description: partial 16S ribosomal RNA
Rfam family: Bacterial small subunit ribosomal RNA
Source: RNAcentral
GAUGAACGCUAGCGGCAGGCUUAACACAUGCAAGUCGAGGGGUAUAGUUCUUCGGAACUAGAGACCGGCGCACGGGUGCGUAACGCGUAUGUAAUCUACCUUUUGCAGGGGGAUAGCCCAGAGAAAUUUGGAUUAAUACCCCAUAGUAUGUUGUGGUGGCAUCACUAUAACAUUAAAGUUCCAACGGUAAAAGAUGAGCAUGCGUCCCAUUAGCUAGAUGGUAAGGGAACGGCUUACCAAGGCUACGAUGGGUAGGGGUCCUGAGAGGGAGAUCCCCCACACUGGUACUGAGACACGGACCAGACUCCUACGGGAGGCAGCAGUGAGGAAUAUUGGACAAUGGGCGCAAGCCUGAUCCAGCCAUGCCGCGUGCAGGAUGACGGUCCUAUGGAUUGUAAACUGCUUUUGUACAGGAAGAAACACUCCCUCGUGAGGGAGCUUGACGGUACUGUAAGAAUAAGGAUCGGCUAACUCCGUGCCAGCCGCCGCCGUAA